AAUCUUCUUGCCAACAUGUGUGGUCCAGAGCUUCCAGAUUUCUUCCCAAUUUGUCUUCACUUCCACUAUGUGUGAACAGUUAGGGUUUACGAUUUUGGGUCUAUAUAAAUAAUGGGUGAAAUUAAGAGUUUGGAACUUGGAAAUAGAAGAUAGGAAGAUGUUUUGUAUGGGCAAAGGGGAAUUUUACAGAGAAAGAAAGUCACAGAAGAAUGGAGGCUGAAACAAAGAGACAAUGAUAUUUCGCGGUAGACAAAGAAAAUAAAGAGGGAAAGUGGCUUUUUAUACUACAAACUAAAUGACACAUUUUAUAAAGAAGAGUCACCUUUUAAUUAACUAAAGAUGACUUCUUAUUUAGUGGUGAGUCAUUUUUAUGUCAUAAAUAAAAACAAUUUUAUAAUAUAUGACUUCCAAAAGUAAAUAAAAGUCAUCUAAACUAAUAGAUGACAAUUAAUAAUAUGUUUGUCAUGUAUUACAUGUCAUCUUUGUCCU
RNAcentral lists this long non-coding RNA (489 nucleotides) under Citrus sinensis (sweet orange). RNAcentral describes it as "long non-coding RNA (CSIN_LNC003138)". Lineage: Eukaryota; Viridiplantae; Streptophyta; Magnoliopsida; Sapindales; Rutaceae. The record is from RNAcentral.